AGGACUAACGCUGGCGGCGUGCCUAACACAUGCAAGUCGAACGAGAGUAGCAAUACUCUAGUGGCAGACGGGUGAGUAACACGUGGUCAACCUACCUUUAAGUGGGGGAUAACUAGCCGAAAGGUUAGCUAAUACCGCAUACGAUCUUCGCGUGGCAUCACAUGAAGAUGAAAGGAGCAAUCCGCUGAAAGACGGGACCGCGUCCCAUUAGCCAGUUGGUGGGGUAACGGCCUACCAAAGCAACGAUGGGUAGCUGGCUUGAGAGAGCGACCAGCCACACUGGGACUGAGACACGGCCCAGACUCCUACGGGAGGCAGCAGUGAGGAAUUUUCCGCAAUGGGCGAAAGCCUGACGGAGCGACGCCGCGUGUGGGAUGAAGGCCUUCGGGUCGUAACCCUUUCAGUGGGAACGAAUUGACGGUACCACAGAAGAAGCCCCGGCAACUACGUGCCAGCAGCCGC
This 462-nucleotide ribosomal RNA is filed under the name uncultured bacterium. Its description in RNAcentral is "SSU rRNA". It matches the Rfam family "Bacterial small subunit ribosomal RNA", at positions 26 to 518 of the family's 1533-position model. The record is from RNAcentral.